Molecule: ribosomal RNA, 253 nt
Filed under: uncultured bacterium
Lineage: Bacteria
Description: partial 16S ribosomal RNA
Rfam family: Bacterial small subunit ribosomal RNA
Source: RNAcentral
UACGUAGGGUGCAAGCGUUGUCCGGAAUUAUUGGGCGUAAAGAGCUCGUAGGCGGUCUGUCGCGUCGGCUGUGAAAACUCGGGGCUCAACUCCGAGCUUGCAGUCGAUACGGGCAGGCUAGAGUUCGGCAGGGGAGACUGGAAUUCCUGGUGUAGCGGUGAAAUGCGCAGAUAUCAGGAGGAACACCGGUGGCGAAGGCGGGUCUCUGGGCCGAUACUGACACUGAGAAGCGAAAGCGUGGGGAGCGAACAGG